This 298-nucleotide long non-coding RNA is filed under the name Sorghum bicolor (sorghum). RNAcentral describes it as "long non-coding RNA (SBIC_LNC000291)". Lineage: Eukaryota; Viridiplantae; Streptophyta; Magnoliopsida; Poales; Poaceae. The record is from RNAcentral.
UCAGAGUUUGCAAAGAUUGAUACCAAGUAUCCACAACUCCACUAGUGCAAGUAUGAGAUCAUCUUGCUCAGCAAUGCGUUUUUUUUUUGUUUACUCUGGUAGUCUGGUUAAAUACAUAUACACGUAUAAUAUGCUUGAUGUAUCACAUGAUGACAAACAUCACAGACAUUUGCAUGCUGAUAAACUGUAUGAAUCACAGACAUUUGUGUCCUAGGAUUGAACUGAAGCUCCUUCAUGGCUUCAUUCCUCGGAAUCAGACUCGAGGGGGCAGGAGCCGUCGUCGACGGUGGCCAGCGGG